GAUGAACGCUGGCGGCGUGCCUAAUACAUGCAAGUCGAGCGAACAGACGAGGAGCUUGCUCCUCUGACGUUAGCGGCGGACGGGUGAGUAACGCGUGUAUAACCUACCUAUAAGACUGGGAUAACUUGGGGAAACCGGAUCUAAUACCGUAUAAUAUAUUGAACCGCAUGGGUCAAUGGUGAAAUACGGUUUUUCGGGCACUUAUAGAUGGAUCCGCGCUGCAUUAGCUAGUUGGUAGGGUAACGGCCUACCAAGGCAACGAUGCGUAGCCGACCUGAGAGGGGGAUCGGCCACACUGGAACUGAGACACGGUCCAGACUCCUACGGGAGGCAGCAGUAGGGAAUCGUACGCAAUGGGCGAAAGCCUGACGGAGCAGGGGCGCGUGAGUGAUGAAGGUCUUCGGAUCGUAAAACCCUGUUAUGAGGGAAGAACCAAUGUGUAAGUAACUAUGCCCGUAUUGACGGUAACGAAUAAGAAAGCCACGGCUAACUACGUG
Molecule: ribosomal RNA, 497 nt
Filed under: uncultured bacterium
Lineage: Bacteria
Description: partial 16S ribosomal RNA
Rfam family: Bacterial small subunit ribosomal RNA
Source: RNAcentral